Molecule: long non-coding RNA, 414 nt
Organism: Mus musculus (house mouse)
Lineage: Eukaryota; Metazoa; Chordata; Mammalia; Rodentia; Muridae
Product: predicted gene, 32491
Exons: 3
Source: RefSeq, a predicted model, not a curated record
CAGCAAUGCCUUGAGGUUCUGGUACUGUUGGCCUCCAAAGCAACACACAGUAUAUCCCAUUCCCUAUGGCUCACCAGGGAGGCAGCUAAUGCUGUGGAUGCCAGUCAGAAGUCCCAGCUCAGACUAGGCGCGGAGCCUGUUUCAACGGGGCCUUCCAGCUCCCCUGGGUCUCCUGCCAACUCUGCUUUCAUCUGCUCUAGGCCCUUCUCCCAAAGGUCACCAGAGUCCACAGGGUAAUGGCUCUGUCAACAGGUGUCUGUGUGGGGGCUCAGUGCCUCAGUUUCCCCAUCAAAAUAUAAUAUGCAGGGGUUGGAUCCAAGAUCUAAGGUCCAUGAAGACGUUCAAGGCCACUGUGUCGUGGUUAACAAAAGUUAUUAAAAAUCAGGGAAUUAAGAGAGCGGCAAUUUGAAUAAA